This 569-nucleotide long non-coding RNA is filed under the name Nicotiana benthamiana. RNAcentral describes it as "long non-coding RNA (NBEN_LNC005094)". The record is from RNAcentral. Lineage: Eukaryota; Viridiplantae; Streptophyta; Magnoliopsida; Solanales; Solanaceae.
AGGGAAAAAAGACGUCCUUUGAUGAUAGCGAUGAAGAAGAUUCUUCUGAUUCAAACCCUCCCAUGGAAGCAGAAUAUGAAGAAGUCAGUGACCCAGUCAAAAACGAUGAACCAAAAUUGAAGCUGAAGAAAUUGUGCUAGCGGCUCUUGAAACAGGCACCUGGGAACUCGUUAAAGCUGAAGCAACUUAAUGUGCUAAUUGAUGAACUAUCAUCAGAUUUUUUCUGUAGAUAAAGCGGCUCUUGAAACAGGUUUCUUUAGAUUGUUUUUGUCACUGAUUAAGUAAUUUAUUCGAAGCCAUGGCUUGACUUCCCUUCAUUGAUGUCUCACACUCCAGGCACCUGGGAACUCGUUAAAGCUGAAGCAACUUAAAGUGCUAAUUGAUGAACAAUCAUCAGAUUUUUUCUGUAGCUUCAAUAAAAAAGAGGCAUUUGGUAUUUUGAAGAGUAAGGUAAAGUACAUUUUCAUUUACAGACUUGCCUUCUAUAACCCAUGAAUCUUGUAGUGUCUUUUGGCAGGAGAUAUCAUUCUGUCUUUUCAACCAUCUUUGUCCUUGUUCGUUUAGCAUGC